AGUGAACGCUGGCGGUAGGCCUAACACAUGCAAGUCGAACGGCAGCACAGUAAGAGCUUGCUCUUACGGGUGGCGAGUGGCGGACGGGUGAGGAAUACAUCGGAAUCUACUUUUUCGUGGGGGAUAACGUAGGGAAACUUACGCUAAUACCGCAUACGACCUACGGGUGAAAGCAGGGGAUCUUCGGACCUUGCGCGAUUGAAUGAGCCGAUGUCGGAUUAGCUAGUUGGCGGGGUAAAGGCCCACCAAGGCGACGAUCCGUAGCUGGUCUGAGAGGAUGAUCAGCCACACUUGAACUGAGACACGGUCCAAGCUCCUACGGGAGGCAGCAGUGGGGAAUAUUGGACAAUGGGCGCAAGCCUGAUCCAGCCAUACCGCGUGGGUGAAGAAGGCCUUCGGGUUGUAAAGCCCUUUUGUUGGGAAAGAAAAGCAGCAGGUUAAUACCCCGCUGUUCUGACGGUACCCAAAGAAUAAGCACCGGCUAACUUCGUG
This 492-nucleotide ribosomal RNA is filed under the name uncultured bacterium. Its description in RNAcentral is "partial 16S ribosomal RNA". It matches the Rfam family "Bacterial small subunit ribosomal RNA", at positions 29 to 507 of the family's 1533-position model. The record is from RNAcentral.